Molecule: ribosomal RNA, 468 nt
Filed under: uncultured bacterium
Lineage: Bacteria
Description: partial 16S ribosomal RNA
Rfam family: Bacterial small subunit ribosomal RNA
Source: RNAcentral
GACGAACGCUGGCGGCGUGCUUAACACAUGCAAGUCGAACGGAAAGGCCCUGCUUUUGUGGGGUGCUCGAGUGGCGAACGGGUGAGUAACACGUGAGUAACCUGCCCUUGACUUUGGGAUAACUUCAGGAAACUGGGGCUAAUACCGGAUAGGAGCUCCUGCUGCAUGGUGGGGGUUGGAAAGUUUCGGCGGUUGGGGAUGGACUCGCGGCUUAUCAGCUUGUUGGUGGGGUAGUGGCUUACCAAGGCUUUGACGGGUAGCCGGCCUGAGAGGGUGACCGGCCACAUUGGGAAUGAGAUACGGCCCAGAGUGCUACGGGAGGCAGCAGUGGGGAAUAUUGCACAAUGGGCGGAAGCCUGAUGCAGCAACGCCGCGUGCGGGAUGACGGCCUUCGGGUUGUAAACCGCUUUCGCCUGUGACGAAGCGUGAGUGACGGUAAUGGGUAAAGAAGCACCGGCUAACUACGUG